This 253-nucleotide ribosomal RNA is filed under the name uncultured bacterium. RNAcentral describes it as "partial 16S ribosomal RNA". It matches the Rfam family "Bacterial small subunit ribosomal RNA", at positions 524 to 776 of the family's 1533-position model. The record is from RNAcentral.
UACGGGGGGGGCAAGCGUUGUUCGGAAUUACUGGGCGUAAAGGGCUCGUAGGCGGCCAACUAAGUCCGACGUGAAAUCCCAAGGCUUAACCUUGGAACUGCGUCGGAUACUGGAUGGCUUGAAUUCGGGAGAGGGAUGCAGAAUUCCAGGUGUAGCGGUGAAAUGCGUAGAGAUGUGGAGGAACACCAAUGGCGAAGGCAGCCUUCUGGGCCAACACUGACGCUCAUGCACGAAAGCGUGGGGAGCAAACAGG